Molecule: ribosomal RNA, 233 nt
Filed under: uncultured bacterium
Lineage: Bacteria
Description: partial 16S ribosomal RNA
Rfam family: Bacterial small subunit ribosomal RNA
Source: RNAcentral
UGAGUAACCUGCCCUUAACUCUGGGAUAAGCCUGGGAAACUGGGUCUAAUACCGGAUAUGACCUCUGACGACAUCGUCUGGAGGUGGAAAGCUCCGGCGGUCAAGGAUGGGCUCGCGGCCUAUCAGCUUGUUGGUGAGGUAACGGCUCACCAAGGCUUCGACGGGUAGCCGGCCUGAGAGGGCGACCGGCCACACUGGGACUGAGAUACGGCCCAGACUCCUACGGGAGGCAG